Molecule: small RNA, 421 nt
Filed under: Pongo abelii (Sumatran orangutan)
Lineage: Eukaryota; Metazoa; Chordata; Mammalia; Primates; Hominidae
Description: processed transcript
Source: RNAcentral
AGAGAGUCCCUGGAAGCCAAAGUGGAAGCAUUUGGCGAUUUCAGUCCCGAGGUGGCAGAGACAUACCGGCUCCUGGGAGGAGCAGACCUGGCGCAGGGGAACCACAGUGGGGCCCACAAGAAACUGAAGAAGCUUGAAAGACCUCAAAGACCUCAGGGAAAGACUGACAGGCCUGGCUUGAAUCCAGGGCCCACCCCUGGCUCAGUCAGCCAAGGCCAGGAGAGUGGUGAAAGGCUGCAGAAAGAAUUCCUGAAGGCUGCUUCAUAGAUCAGGAACAUCUCAGGAGUGUGCUGAGUCCAAGAACAGUGUGAAGUCGGGUUUGGGUCCAGUCGUCAUCUGGCCUCCCGUGUUAGGUACUGUCUUCAGCAGGGUUCAAUCCACUGCCUCACUACUUUAGCUGUGGACAUUAAACAUUUCCACA